This 253-nucleotide ribosomal RNA is filed under the name uncultured bacterium. RNAcentral's name for it is "partial 16S ribosomal RNA". It matches the Rfam family "Bacterial small subunit ribosomal RNA", at positions 524 to 776 of the family's 1533-position model. The record is from RNAcentral.
UACGGAGGGGGCUAGCGUUGAUCGGAAUUACUGGGCGUAAAGGGCGCGUAGGCGGCCUUGUAAGUCGGAUGUGAAAUUCCGGGGCUCAACCCCGGAGCUGCAUUUGAAACUGCAAGACUAGAGUACAGUUAGGGUAAACGGAAUUCCACGUGUAGCGGUGAAAUGCGUAGAUAUGUGGAAGAACACCGGUGGUGAAGACGGUUUACUGGGCUGUAACUGACGCUGAGGCGCGAAAGCAUGGGGAGCAAACAGG